GGAUGCCUCAGAGGAUUCUUUUCCCCAGCUUGAAACACUUGUUAUAAGAGGGUGUGACAAGCUCAACGCGAUCCCCUUUAGCUUUGUAGAUAUUCCAACACUGCAACAGAUUAAGUUGCUUAACUGCAUGAAUAAAUCACUGGAGGCUUCAGCUGUGAAAAUUAAGGAAGAAGUCAGCAAUAUUGAAGGAUGCGACCGUAUUGACAUCAGUAUCGGAGAUAAGUGGGGAAAUCUAAAGCACCUGUGAGUCAAGCACAUGAUUAGCUCGUAACAAGGACAUGGUAUCCAUAAUUUCUCCAUGUGGCACUACACUAGAUUUGUUGUUAUUGUUGGCUGAUGAUUAGGAUGUGUACGUAGAUCUCAAGAUGGUGAGGAUGUUUCUGAAUUUUACAAUUACUUUGACAACUGCUGCAAAAGCACAUUCAGCUUGGCGAAAUGCCUAUCCUUCUUAUAUUGUAACAGGAUUACUGAUUGCUAAGUGUGUUUUGAUUGAUCAACUGGGAUACAUGCCCUCUUUAUCUGUAUGUAAUAUAUGUCAGACGGUCUUUCACUGUGAUUUCUUGUUGCCUUUCUCAUGCAGCUUUAUAAUUUUAGAACCAGACAAA
This is a long non-coding RNA of Capsicum annuum, 605 nucleotides long. RefSeq lists it as uncharacterized. The transcript is spliced from 2 exons. NCBI's taxonomy places the organism in Eukaryota, Viridiplantae, Streptophyta, Magnoliopsida, Solanales, Solanaceae. The record is from RefSeq and is a predicted model, not a curated record.